CCUCUUCCCAUUCCGAACAGAGAAGUUAAGCCCGCCAGAGCCGAUGGUACUGCGGUAACACGUGGGAGAGUAGGUCGGUGCCAACC
RNAcentral lists this ribosomal RNA (86 nucleotides) under Arcticibacter tournemirensis. The record is from RNAcentral. Lineage: Bacteria; Pseudomonadati; Bacteroidota; Sphingobacteriia; Sphingobacteriales; Sphingobacteriaceae.